RNAcentral lists this ribosomal RNA (576 nucleotides) under uncultured Methanocorpusculum sp. RNAcentral's name for it is "bacterial SSU rRNA". It matches the Rfam family "Archaeal small subunit ribosomal RNA", at positions 328 to 908 of the family's 1478-position model. Lineage: Archaea; Methanobacteriati; Methanobacteriota; Methanomicrobia; Methanomicrobiales; Methanocorpusculaceae. The record is from RNAcentral.
GGGCGCAGCAGGCGCGCAAACUUUACAAUGCGAGCAAUCGUGAUAAGGAAACCCUGAGUGCCUGUCGAUGCAGGCUGUUCAUAUAUCUAAAUCAUAUGUGAAGAAAGGGCAGGGCAAGACCGGUGCCAGCCGCCGCGGUAAUACCGGCUGCUCGAGUGAUGGCCACUAUUACUGGGUUUAAAGCGUCCGUAGCUUGACUGUUAGGUCUCUUGGGAAAUCUUCGCGCUCAACGUGAAGGCGUCUAAGAGAUACCGGCAGUCUUGGAACUGGGAGAGGUAAACCGUACUUCGGGGGUAGGAGUGAAAUCUUGUAAUCCUCGAGGGACGACCUAUGGCGAAGGCAGUUUACCAGAACAGCUUCGACAGUGAGGGACGAAAGCUGGGGGAGCAAACGGGAUUAGAUACCCCGGUAGUCCCAGCCGUAAACAAUGUGCGUUAGGUGUGUCGGUAACCACGUGUUACUGAUGCGCCGAAGAGAAAUCGUGAAACGCACCACCUGGGAAGUACGGUCGCAAGGCUGAAACUUAAAGGAAUUGGCGGGGGAGCACCACAACAGGUGGAGCCUGCGGUUUAAUUG